GACGAACCGUGCGAACGUUGUUCGGAAUCACUGGGCUUAAAGGGCGCGUAGGCGGCCCGCCAAGUCAGGGGUGAAAGCCCCCAGCUCAACUGGGGAAGUGCCUUUGAUACUGGCGGGCUCGAGCGAGGCAGGGGUCGUGGGAACUUCCGGUGGAGCGGUGAAAUGCGUUGAUAUCGGAAGGAACGCCGGUGGCGAAAGCGCACGACUGGUCCUCUUCUGACGCUGAGGCGCGAAAGCCAGGGGAGCAAACGGG
RNAcentral lists this ribosomal RNA (253 nucleotides) under uncultured bacterium. RNAcentral describes it as "partial 16S ribosomal RNA". It matches the Rfam family "Bacterial small subunit ribosomal RNA", at positions 524 to 776 of the family's 1533-position model. The record is from RNAcentral.